RNAcentral lists this ribosomal RNA (679 nucleotides) under Athelia abscondita. RNAcentral describes it as "partial large subunit ribosomal RNA". The record is from RNAcentral. Lineage: Eukaryota; Fungi; Basidiomycota; Agaricomycetes; Atheliales; Atheliaceae.
UGAAGCGGGAAAAGCUCAAAUUUAAAAUCUGGCGUCCUCCGGGCGUCCGAGUUGUAAUCUGGAGAAGCGUUUUCCGCGUCGGACCGUGUACAAGUCUUCUGGAACGGAGCGUCAUAGAGGGUGAGAAUCCCGUCUCUGACACGGACUACCGAUGCUUUUGUGAUGCGCUCUCGAAGAGUCGAGUUGUUUGGGAAUGCAGCUCAAAAUGGGUGGUAAAUUCCAUCUAAAGCUAAAUAUUGGCCAGAGACCGAUAGCGAACAAGUACCGUGAGGGAAAGAUGAAAAGCACUUUGGAAAGAGAGUUAAACAGUACGUGAAAUUGUUGAAAGGGAAACGCUUGAAGUCAGUCGCGUUGGCCGAGACUCAGCCUGGCUUGCCUGGUGUACUUCUCGGUUGACGGGUCAGCAUCAGUUUUGACCGUCGGAUAAAGGUUGGAGGAAUGUGGCAUCCCUCGGGAUGUGUUAUAGCCUCUGAUUCGCAUACGGCGAUUGGGACUGAGGAACUCAGCACGCCUUUAUGGUCGGGGUUCGCCCACGUAACGUGCUUAGGAUGCUGKCAUAAUGGCUUUAAGCGACCCGUCUUGAAACACGGACCAAGGAGUCUAACAUGCCCGCGAGUGUUUGGGUGUUAAACCCGAGCGCGUAAUGAAAGUGAAAGUUGAGAUCCCUGUCGUGGGGAGC